This 70-nucleotide transfer RNA is filed under the name Parachiloglanis hodgarti. RNAcentral describes it as "tRNA-Phe". It matches the Rfam family "tRNA". Rfam says of the family: Transfer RNA (tRNA) molecules are approximately 80 nucleotides in length. Their secondary structure includes four short double-helical elements and three loops (D, anti-codon, and T loops). The record is from RNAcentral. Lineage: Eukaryota; Metazoa; Chordata; Actinopteri; Siluriformes; Sisoridae.
GCUGAUAUAGCUUAAAUUUAAAGCAUAGCACUGAAGAUGCUAAGAUAAAUCCUAAAAAAUUUUACCGGCA